AGCGUACACGGUGGAUGCCCUGGCAGUCAGAGGCGAUGAAGGACGUGCUAAUCUGCGAAAAGCGUCGGUAAGGUGAUAUGAACCGUUAUAACCGGCGAUGUCCGAAUGGGGAAACCCAGUGCAAUUCGUUGCACUAUCGUUAACUGAAUACAUAGGUUAACGAGGCGAACCGGGGGAACUGAAACAUCUAAGUACCCCGAGGAAAAGAAAUCAACCGAGAUUCCCCCAGUAGCGGCGAGCGAACGGGGAGCAGCCCAGAGUCUGAAUCAGCUUGUGUGUUAGUGGAACGGUCUGGAAAGUCCGACGGUACAGGGUGAUAGUCCCGUACACCAAAAUGCACAGGCUGUGAACUCGAAGAGUAGGGCGGGACACGUGGUAUCCUGUCUGAAUAUGGGGGGACCAUCCUCCAAGGCUAAAUACUCCUGACUGACCGAUAGUGAACCAGUACCGUGAGGGAAAGGCGAAAAGAACCCCGGCGAGGGGAGUGAAAAAGAACCUGAAACCGUGUACGUACAAGCAGUGGGAGCACCUUCGGGUGUGACUGCGUACCUUUUGUAUAAUGGGUCAGCGACUUAUAUUCUGUAGCAAGGUUAACCGUAUAGGGGAGCCGCAGGGAAACCGAGUCUUAACUGGGCGUUAAGUUGCAGGGUAUAGACCCGAAACCCGGUGAUCUAGCCAUGGGCAGGUUGAAGGUUGGGUAACACUAACUGGAGGACCGAACCGACUAAUGUUGAAAAAUUAGCGGAUGACUUGUGGCUGGGGGUGAAAGGCCAAUCAAACCGGGAGAUAGCUGGUUCUCCCCGAAAGCUAUUUAGGUAGCGCCUCGUGAACUCAUCUUCGGGGGUAGAGCACUGUUUCGGCUAGGGGGUCAUCCCGACUUACCAACCCGAUGCAAACUACGAAUACCGAAGAAUGUUAUCACGGGAGACACACGGCGGGUGCUAACGUCCGUCGUGAAGAGGGAAACAACCCAGACCGCCAGCUAAGGUCCCAAAGUCAUGGUUAAGUGGGAAACGAUGUGGGAAGGCACAGACAGCCAGGAUGUUGGCUUAGAAGCAGCCAUCAUUUAAAGAAAGCGUAAUAGCUCACUGGUCGAGUCGGCCUGCGCGGAAGAUGUAACGGGGCUAAACCAUGCACCGAAGCUGCGGCAGCGACACUAUGUGUUGUUGGGUAGGGGAGCGUUCUGUAAGCCUGCGAAGGUGACCUGUGAGGGUUGCUGGAGGUAUCAGAAGUGCGAAUGCUGACAUAAGUAACGAUAAAGCGGGUGAAAAGCCCGCUCGCCGGAAGACCAAGGGUUCCUGUCCAACGUUAAUCGGGGCAGGGUGAGUCGACCCCUAAGGCGAGGCCGAAAGGCGUAGUCGAUGGGAAACAGGUUAAUAUUCCUGUACUUGGUGUUACUGCGAAGGGGGGACGGAGAAGGCUAUGUUAGCCGGGCGACGGUUGUCCCGGUUUAAGCAUGUAGGCUGGUUAUCCAGGCAAAUCCGGAUAAUCAAGGCUGAGGUGUGAUGACGAGGCACUACGGUGCUGAAGUAACAAAUGCCCUGCUUCCAGGAAAAGCCUCUAAGCAUCAGGUAACAUCAAAUCGUACCCCAAACCGACACAGGUGGUCAGGUAGAGAAUACCAAGGCGCUUGAGAGAACUCGGGUGAAGGAACUAGGCAAAAUGGUGCCGUAACUUCGGGAGAAGGCACGCUGGUGUGUAGGUGAAGUCCCUGCGGAUGGAGCUGAGACCAGUCGAAGAUACCAGCUGGCUGCAACUGUUUAUUAAAAACACAGCACUGUGCAAACACGAAAGUGGACGUAUACGGUGUGACGCCUGCCCGGUGCCGGAAGGUUAAUUGAUGGGGUUAUCCGUAAGGAGAAGCUCUUGAUCGAAGCCCCGGUAAACGGCGGCCGUAACUAUAACGGUCCUAAGGUAGCGAAAUUCCUUGUCGGGUAAGUUCCGACCUGCACGAAUGGCGUAAUGAUGGCCAGGCUGUCUCCACCCGAGACUCAGUGAAAUUGAACUCGCUGUGAAGAUGCAGUGUACCCGCGGCAAGACGGAAAGACCCCGUGAACCUUUACUAUAGCUUGACACUGAACAUUGAGCCUUGAUGUGUAGGAUAGGUGGGAGGCUUUGAAGCGUGGACGCCAGUCUGCGUGGAGCCAACCUUGAAAUACCACCCUUUAAUGUUUGAUGUUCUAACGUUGGCCCCUGACCGGGGUUGCGGACAGUGUCUGGUGGGUAGUUUGACUGGGGCGGUCUCCUCCCAAAGCGUAACGGAGGAGCACGAAGGUUAGCUAAUCCUGGUCGGACAUCAGGAGGUUAGUGCAAUGGCAUAAGCUAGCUUGACUGCGAGCGUGACGGCGCGAGCAGGUGCGAAAGCAGGUCAUAGUGAUCCGGUGGUUCUGAAUGGAAGGGCCAUCGCUCAACGGAUAAAAGGUACUCCGGGGAUAACAGGCUGAUACCGCCCAAGAGUUCAUAUCGACGGCGGUGUUUGGCACCUCGAUGUCGGCUCAUCACAUCCUGGGGCUGAAGUAGGUCCCAAGGGUAUGGCUGUUCGCCAUUUAAAGUGGUACGCGAGCUGGGUUUAGAACGUCGUGAGACAGUUCGGUCCCUAUCUGCCGUGGGCGCUGGAGAAUUGAGGGGGGCUGCUCCUAGUACGAGAGGACCGGAGUGGACGCAUCACUGGUGUUCGGGUUGUCAUGCCAAUGGCACUGCCCGGUAGCUAAAUGCGGAAGAGAUAAGUGCUGAAAGCAUCUAAGCACGAAACUUGCCCCGAGAUGAGUUCU
RNAcentral lists this ribosomal RNA (2771 nucleotides) under Klebsiella pneumoniae. Its description in RNAcentral is "bacterial LSU rRNA". It matches the Rfam family "Bacterial large subunit ribosomal RNA". Lineage: Bacteria; Pseudomonadati; Pseudomonadota; Gammaproteobacteria; Enterobacterales; Enterobacteriaceae. The record is from RNAcentral.